CGUAGAGGUAGUUUGACGUUCCUGGCUCGACGGAGAAACGGCUGGCGGACGGUGCCUAAUACAUGCAAGUCGAACGGAGAUAUUCGCUGAUGAAGUACUUCGGUAAUGAAUCUUGGAUAUCUUAGUGGCGGACGGGUGAGUAACGCGUGAGCAACCUGCCUUUCAGAGGGGGAUAACGUUUGGAAACGAACGCUAAUACCGCAUGACAUUAUCUUAUCGCAUGGUAGGAUAAUCAAAGGAGCAAUCCGCUGAAAGAUGGGCUCGCGUCCGAUUAGGUAGUUGGUGGGGUAACGGCCCACCAAGCCGACGAUCGGUAGCCGGACUGAGAGGUUGGACGGCCACAUUGGGACUGAGACACGGCCCAGACUCCUACGGGAGGCAGCAGUAAGGGAUAUUGGUCAAGUGGGGGAAACCCUGAACCAGCAACGCCGCGUGAGGGAAGACGGUUUUCGGAUUGUAAACCUCUGUCCUCUGUGAAGAUGAUGACGGUAGCAGAGGAGGAAGCUCCGGCUAACUACGUG
This 521-nucleotide ribosomal RNA is filed under the name uncultured Oscillospiraceae bacterium. Its description in RNAcentral is "bacterial SSU rRNA". It matches the Rfam family "Bacterial small subunit ribosomal RNA", at positions 1 to 507 of the family's 1533-position model. Lineage: Bacteria; Bacillati; Bacillota; Clostridia; Eubacteriales; Oscillospiraceae. The record is from RNAcentral.